RNAcentral lists this unclassified non-coding RNA (637 nucleotides) under Bombus terrestris (buff-tailed bumblebee). Its description in RNAcentral is "misc RNA ENSBTSG00005027494.1". Lineage: Eukaryota; Metazoa; Arthropoda; Insecta; Hymenoptera; Apidae. The record is from RNAcentral.
CUGGGUAUAUCGUUCGACAGUCACGUCUUCGGGGCAUCAGAGAUUUCCGCAAGCAGCGUAAACGACAGUUUAAUCAUCCGUACACCGUCUACGGGAUAUUUCUCAUCGGUGGAUCGGUUUUUAUGAGCUCGUAUAGGCAACACGCCAUGGUGGAAGCUCAUGCAUCAGCCGCUCCGACUCAUGAUUUCCCCAUUAGAAUGCCGUUCGUCAUGUCAACGCGCGUCGAGAUAGAUAUUUCAUGGUGAACGAAGCGAACAGAUGCCUCACGGAUGUCGGGGCAAAAGUACAUAUUCCUCCAUCGCUGAGCCAGUCUACAGUGAAUCCGCAGGUACCGGUAUAUCCGAUCAAGCAAACCGAAGGCAGAUGAUUUUGUAGGCAAACUGACCAGACCGGCGGCAAGCAAGAAUUCGCAUAGCUGGAUUCGCAGCUGAGGGAGUGUAUCGAGGCGAGCGUGUCGUUCGAUUCGAUUAGCUUUGUCCGAGAACGGUAUUCGCGGCGCGCAUAUUAGCAAAGGCACGCAGUCGACGGUGGGCAGGGGUGCAUCGGGUUCGCCAGGUAUUCCUUUCGGCCAGCGUACGGCAACCCCAAGCGAGUUAAUCAACGAGAUGCAUUCAGAGGGAUAGAUCGGCAAGCGAGG